This is a long non-coding RNA of Lineus longissimus, 522 nucleotides long. RefSeq lists it as uncharacterized. The transcript is spliced from 3 exons. NCBI's taxonomy places the organism in Eukaryota, Metazoa, Nemertea, Pilidiophora, Heteronemertea, Lineidae. The record is from RefSeq and is a predicted model, not a curated record.
AUGAGUUAGCAUAUACCAUAGUUUAUGUUGAAAAUAUCUUUACAGAUGUAAUUGAUAAAUAUAGUCUUAAGAAUUCGCCAAAUAUAGAAAAGUUCUUGGUAUAUUAUCCACCUGUUAGCAAAAUGAACUCGCCCAUUGACCCACAUUCCAGUUUGUUGUGGUAUUUUUGUACAGGGUGAUGCCAAAACAGUGCCUUUUGUUGACUGGUAAACAUUCCUUCAGUUACUAAAAUGCCUUUUUCUUUAAUUUCAGCUGGUUGCAUGGUGUGUACUGCAGAUAACUUCUCGACUUAAUCCGGCUGAUGUGAUGCUUUAGUUGAUUCGAGAGGCUACAUGUAUAUAGGCCCAGUACGUCGACAUCAUUGAUCCGGCAGUGAACAAGAUAAGUGGUUCAGCCUCCAAGAGGUGUCACCAGAAAUGCAACCGACAUUAUAGACAGGCGUGAUUACUACUCUGAUUUUGGACUGAUGGUAUACUCGUCUUCAAAAUGGACCUGACUAGGAAUGAUGAUGGUGACUUCCCU